This 72-nucleotide small RNA is filed under the name Pseudomonas sp. B10. Its description in RNAcentral is "Pseudomonas sRNA P10". It matches the Rfam family "Pseudomonas sRNA P10". Lineage: Bacteria; Pseudomonadati; Pseudomonadota; Gammaproteobacteria; Pseudomonadales; Pseudomonadaceae. The record is from RNAcentral.
CGUCACGGACCCGACCACUUGCCCGAUUCCCGGUCACGGCACCAACCCGAUUGCCAGUGGUUCGGGCGAUGU